RNAcentral lists this ribosomal RNA (430 nucleotides) under Pseudomonadota bacterium. RNAcentral describes it as "Proteobacteria bacterium partial 16S ribosomal RNA". It matches the Rfam family "Bacterial small subunit ribosomal RNA", at positions 355 to 776 of the family's 1533-position model. Lineage: Bacteria; Pseudomonadati; Pseudomonadota. The record is from RNAcentral.
UGGGGAAUAUUGGACAAUGGGGGGAACCCUGAUCCAGCCAUGCCGCGUGUGUGAAGAAGGCCUUAUGGUUGUAAAGCACUUUAAGCGAGGAGGAGGGUACUGGUAUUAAUACUACCAGCUACUGGACGUUACUCGCAGAAUAAGCACCGGCUAACUCUGUGCCAGCAGCCGCGGUAAUACAGAGGGUGCGAGCGUUAAUCGGAUUUACUGGGCGUAAAGCGUGCGUAGGCGGCUAAUUGAGUCGGAUGUGAAAUCCCCGAGCUUAACUUGGGAAUUGCAUUCGAUACUGGUGAGCUAGAGUGUGGGAGAGGAUGGUAGAAUUCCAGGUGUAGCGGUGAAAUGCGUAGAGAUCUGGAGGAAUACCGAUGGCGAAGGCAGCCAUCUGGCCUAACACUGACGCUGAGGUACGAAAGCAUGGGGAGCAAACAGG